Molecule: ribosomal RNA, 253 nt
Filed under: uncultured bacterium
Lineage: Bacteria
Description: partial 16S ribosomal RNA
Rfam family: Bacterial small subunit ribosomal RNA
Source: RNAcentral
UACGAAGGGGGCAAGCGUUGCUCGGAAUCACUGGGCGUAAAGCGCACGUAGGCGGACUCUUAAGUCGGUGGUGAAAUCCUGGAGCUCAACUCCAGAACUGCCUUCGAUACUGAGAGUCUCGAGUCCGGGAGAGGUGAGUGGAACUGCGAGUGUAGAGGUGAAAUUCGUAGAUAUUCGCAAGAACACCAGUGGCGAAGGCGGCUCACUGGCCCGGUACUGACGCUGAGGUGCGAAAGCGUGGGGAGCAAACAGG